RNAcentral lists this transfer RNA (60 nucleotides) under Perkinsus chesapeaki. RNAcentral's name for it is "tRNA-Ala". It matches the Rfam family "tRNA", at positions 7 to 65 of the family's 71-position model. Rfam says of the family: Transfer RNA (tRNA) molecules are approximately 80 nucleotides in length. The record is from RNAcentral. Lineage: Eukaryota; Perkinsozoa; Perkinsida; Perkinsidae.
GUGGUGUAGUGGUAUCACGUCUGCUUCGCAUGCAGAAGGCCCCGAGUUCAAACCUCGGCA